AGGGAAUCUUCCACAAUGGACGGAAGUCUGAUGGAGCAACGCCGCGUGAGCGAAGAAGGUCUUCGGAUCGUAAAGCUCUGUUGUAAGGGAAGAAUAAGUACAGUAGUAACUGGCUGUACCUUGACGGUACCUUACGAGAAAGCCACGGCUAACUACGUGCCAGCAGCCGCGGUAAUACGUAGGUGGCAAGCGUUGUCCGGAAUUAUUGGGCGUAAAGCGCGCGCAGGCGGCCUUUUAAGUCUGAUGUGAAAGCCCCCGGCUUAACCGGGGAGGGUCAUUGGAAACUGGGAGGCUUGAGUGCAGAAGAGGAAAGUGGAAUUCCAAGUGUAGCGGUGAAAUGCGUAGAGAUUUGGAGGAACACCAGUGGCGAAGGCGACUUUCUGGUCUGUUACUGACGCUGAGGCGCGAAAGCGUGGGGAGCAAACA
RNAcentral lists this ribosomal RNA (426 nucleotides) under uncultured Caryophanales bacterium. RNAcentral describes it as "bacterial SSU rRNA". It matches the Rfam family "Bacterial small subunit ribosomal RNA", at positions 356 to 774 of the family's 1533-position model. Lineage: Bacteria; Bacillati; Bacillota; Bacilli; Caryophanales. The record is from RNAcentral.